CAAUAGCGUAUAUUAAAGUUGUUGCAGUUAAAAAGCUCGUAGUUGGAUUUCUGGUUGAAGCGACCGGUCGGGCGUUGAUUCGUCUGCACUGGAGUCGGUUUUGGCCAUCCUCUAGGAAAGUGCGUCUGGUAUUAAGUUAUCGGGCGUAUGAUCCUGGUCUUUUACUGUGAAAAAAUUAGAGUGUUUAAAGCAGGCCUUCGCCUUGAAUACAUUAGCAUGGAAUAAUAAGAUAGGAGUUUGGUCUAUUUUGUUGGUUUGCAGACCGAAGUAAUGAUUAAUAGGGAUAGUUGGGGGUAUUUAUAUUCCGAUGUCAGAGGUGAAAUUCUUAGAUUUUCGGAAGAUAAACUUAUGCGAAAGCAUUUACCAAGGAUGUUUUCAUUAA
RNAcentral lists this ribosomal RNA (382 nucleotides) under uncultured eukaryote. Its description in RNAcentral is "partial 18S ribosomal RNA". It matches the Rfam family "Eukaryotic small subunit ribosomal RNA", at positions 592 to 976 of the family's 1831-position model. The record is from RNAcentral.